Eucalyptus grandis is the source of this 514-nucleotide long non-coding RNA. RefSeq lists it as uncharacterized. The transcript has 2 exons. NCBI's taxonomy places the organism in Eukaryota, Viridiplantae, Streptophyta, Magnoliopsida, Myrtales, Myrtaceae. The record is from RefSeq and is a predicted model, not a curated record.
GUGGAAUUCCGAGCGAUUGCCGCGGGAAAAGAAAAGAGGGGGCUCUCCUUUCAACUUCUUCAAACUACAAAGUAGCUCCUCCUACUUCGUUCAUGUUUCUCUGUCGCUCUCCGUCUCCUUCUCUUUGCGGCUGAACCAGCGAGUCAGUCAGUCAGUCAUGACCACCCCUCUGUGCUUUCGUCUGGAGCAAGCUCUGAGGAGAUUCAGAAAGCAGAGACACAGCAUGAUGAAACCGUAGAAUAUAUGAUUAAUCCAUUGUAGAGGAGGGCAAACACUGUCAGCACUCAAGCAACUCUUGAUAGGGCGGAGGCAGCUCUGAAUUUGUUGUUGGAUGAGCUGCAUGAACAAGAAUGUUAUUUAUUUUUGUGAUCCCACAUUUUCAGACCCACAUUUUCUCUUAACGUGGCGAUUAUUCGACAUGAAGUUUUUCCACAUUUCGUAUCUUUCGUGACAAUCGCCCAUUUGAUAACCGUCUUGAUGGGAGACGGUGUAUAAAAGGAACGUACGUUCAUUU